CAGCCCUAAACGAUGCGCGUUAGGUGUAUCGGUGACCACGAGUCACCGAGGUGCCGAAGGGAAACCGUGAAACGUGCCGCCUGGGAAGUACGGUCGCAAGGCUGAAACUUAAAGGAAUUGGCGGGGGAGCACCACAACAGGUGGAGCCUGCGGUUUAAUUGGACUCAACGCCGGGAAGCUCACCGGAUAAGACAGCGGAAUGAUUGCCGGGCUGAAGACCCUGCAUGACCAGCUGAGAGGAGGUGCAUGGCGUAGUCGUGU
RNAcentral lists this ribosomal RNA (261 nucleotides) under uncultured archaeon. RNAcentral describes it as "partial 16S ribosomal RNA". It matches the Rfam family "Archaeal small subunit ribosomal RNA", at positions 748 to 1009 of the family's 1478-position model. The record is from RNAcentral.